AACCAGCACCUCAAGUGGUCAGGAUGAUUAUUGGGGCCUAAAGCAUCCGUAGCCGGCUCUGUAAGUUUUCGGUUAAAUCUGUACGCUUAACGUACAGGCUGCCGGGAAUACUGCAGAGCUAGGUAGUGGGAGAGGUAGACGGUACUCGGUAGGAAGGGGUAAAAUCCUUUGAUCUAUUGAUGACCACCUGUGGCGAAGGCGGUCUACCAGAACACGUACGACGGUGAGGGAUGAAAGCUGGGGGAGCAAACCGGAUUAGAUACCCGAGUAGUCCCAGCUGUAAACUAUGCAAACUCAGUGAUGCAUUGGCUUGUGGCCAAUGCAGUGCUGCAGGGAAGCCGUUAAGUUUGCCGCCUGGGAAGUACGUACGCAAGUAUGAAACUUAAAGGAAUUGGCGGGGGAGCACCACAAGGGGUGAAGCCUGCGGUUCAAUUGGAGUCAACGCCAGAAAUCUUACCCGGAGAGACAGCAGAAUGAAGGUCAAGCUGAAGACUUUACCAGACAAGCUGAGAGGUGGUGCAUGGCCGUCGCCAGCUCGUGCCGUGAGAUGUCCUGUUAAGUCAGGUAACGAGCGAGAUCCCUGCCUCUAGUUGCCACCAUUACUCUCAGGAGUAGUGGGGCGAAUUAGCGGGACCGCCGCAGUUAAUGCGGAGGAAGGAAGGGGCCACGGCAGGUCAGUAUGCCCCGAAACUCUGGGGCCACACGCGGGCUGCAAUGGUAACGACAAUGGGUUUCGAAUUCGAAAGGAUGAGGUAAUCCUCAAACGUUACCACAGUUAUGACUGAGGGCUGCAACUCGCCCUCACGAAUAUGGAAUCCCUAGUAACUGCGUGUCACUAUCGCGCGGUGAAUACGUCCCUGCUCCU
Molecule: ribosomal RNA, 865 nt
Filed under: uncultured archaeon
Lineage: Archaea
Description: SSU rRNA
Rfam family: Archaeal small subunit ribosomal RNA
Source: RNAcentral